UGGUAAAACUGAUGGACCUGCAGAAGAAACAAGACCCUUGAUUUUGGCCAGGAGUGUAUGCAGAAGGGAAGUCACAAGACAUUUUGAGAGACAGAUCAGCACAGUCAUCUAACAUUCUAAUAGUUUCAUGUACAUGGUCAUACAUGUACUCCUAGGAGAGCAACAUGUGGUUUAUCCAAACCCAACUUGGCAAAGCUUGGAAAUACUUUACCAAUAGCAGGAUGGCACCAAAUACAUAUCCCCUGGCAUGUUCAGGCACUGACCCAUUCCUACCUUUGCAGAGUGUUUUAUGAGUGACCUUUUAAAAGAAGAAGUCUGGUGGCCAGGGCAUUUUAUUCUUAUCCCUGACAAUUAAUUCUUGGCUGGUUGAUAUUGAUCAAGUCACCUCCACAUCCAGACAAAGAAAUUCAUUCCAUGACGUAUGAGGCUCCCUAACCCAUCACAUGGAGUUAACACAAACCUGGGAGUGGUGUUGGAGAGAUUUAGGUGAGAUGAUGAUGUAACUCACUCAGCACCAGGCCUGGUACCUUUGAAGUCAAGAAUGACUAUUAAUAUUCUUUGAUGUGACCCUACUGUUCUGAUAUUUCUAAAUAAAAAAAACUAGUUGCUGGGCCAGGGA
Fukomys damarensis (Damara mole-rat) is the source of this 619-nucleotide long non-coding RNA. RefSeq lists it as uncharacterized. The record is from RefSeq and is a predicted model, not a curated record. Lineage: Eukaryota; Metazoa; Chordata; Mammalia; Rodentia; Bathyergidae. The transcript has 3 exons.